UACGUAGGUCCCGAGCGUUGUCCGGAUUUAUUGGGCGUAAAGCGAGCGCAGGUGGUUUAUUAAGUCUGGUGUAAAAGGCAGUGGCUCAACCAUUGUAUGCAUUGGAAACUGGUAGACUUGAGUGCGGGGGAGGAGAGUGGAAUUCCAUGUGUAGCGGUGAAAUGCGUAGAUAUAUGGAGGAACACCGGUGGCGAAAGCGGCUCUCUGGCCUGUAACUGACACUGAGGCUCGAAAGCGUGGGGAGCAAACAGG
Molecule: ribosomal RNA, 252 nt
Filed under: uncultured bacterium
Lineage: Bacteria
Description: partial 16S ribosomal RNA
Rfam family: Bacterial small subunit ribosomal RNA
Source: RNAcentral